UUAGAGGUAUCCCGCACGCGGGGCCAAGAGAAUGGUGAAAGAGAGAUCUUUCAAAUAAAACAAAAAAACCCACCCAAACAAAGCAGGCCCGCCGCUUCUGUCUUCUCUCCCCCAACUCCUUUCACGACCACACCAAGCCGCUGCCGCCGACCACCGUCGUCUCGCCCAACCCCGGCCUCCACUCCGCCGCCGUCGGCCCCUCCCCCGCUCACGCUGGACGCAGAUGCGCUUGAGCUGCUCAACCCACGGCCAGAUUCGCUCUCCCUCCGUCCCUGCCCGCGCCGGAAACCCUAGCCGCCGGCCGUGGCGACCGACCGCAGGGCGCAGGCACAUGGCUCAGCUCAAUGACAUUGCUUGGUAGGCGCCAUGGAGUGGAGCUUCCUCUGCUCGGGACGCCAUGGAUCUUGUGCUCGUCAAGGUCCUUCUUCCUCCAGCACGAGGACAAGCAGCAGCAGCAGCAUCAAGGUGGACAAAAAGGACCUCGUCUCCGCUCCAUGGCAGUUGCUCGCCGCCCGACCGGCCGUCCAUGCUGCCAAAGAUCACCGGCGUCAGCAGGGCCACCAACAACAUCGUAUUCCGCUUCUUCCUGUCCUCCGGCAUCCUCGUCCGCUACUGAAGAAGGUGGAACCAAGGAAUCAGGCCUGUGCUCCUCGUUGUCCUCGACCACCAAGGAUGCAGGCCCCCAGCCUUGGUUCUUCUGCGACUACCGCACCAACCUCGGCGCCCAACCCCCUAGAGCCACCGACAGUCCCGACUCCCAAGAGGCAAGCGCUUUAGUACAUGGUGUGAUGACUUGUGCUCCCAUGGCUCCAUCCUAGGCUACAACUACAUUAGGUGCCCACCAGUUCAAUGGAUGACAUCGACGACCGGGACAUGUGCCCAAGCUGACAAGGACAUCGUCGAGUCCGACAACAAUCUCUACUAUGAGCUCGUCCACCACGACUCCCCACAGAAGACUUCUUUUACCUGCAGAGGCAAGCGAUGUGCUUCAGUACAUGGUGUGAUGACUUGUGCUCCCAUGGCUGCCUCCUAGGCUACAACAACAUUAGAGAGGUUACUUGCAGCGAACAAGCCAACAUCUUCGAAGCAUAGGCUUUUUGCCACUGCAACGCCAACCCAAGGGCUUCAAAACGGUGGUUUUGGCCUUUUGCCCGUGGGAACGUCUCAGGACAGAUGCAACAUGCACUACUAGAAUUUGGCAUUUUGACGUCUGCCAACUCUUUGCCGUCUGCCAGCUGACGGCAAAGAGCCUCUUUGUCGUCCGCUUCCACAAAGCGAACGGUAAAGAAAGUGCAGAUGGCAAAAAGAAUAUUUGCCGUCAGCUGCUUUUUUGCUGUCAGCCAGCUGACGACAAAGACCUAGAAGGCAGAUGGCAAAGAGCUAGGUGGGCCCCACAGGGCACAGCGUGGGUCAGAUUCUUUGUCGUCCGCCUAGUUUUUUCCGUCUGCCUUCUGGACAAAUGGCCUAGUUAACGGCCGUCUCCCCCUCCUAUGCGUGCUCUCUGUCUUUUCGGCCCUACCCCUCUCGCUCCGCCCUCUCUCUCUCACCCCCGUCCCCAACGCGCCCGCGCCCGCACCACCGCCCCACCCCGCCGCAGCACCACCCCGACGCCCCGGAGCCUUGCGGCCCCGUCGCCACCAUUGCCCGGCGCCCCCUCCGCCCGGCCAGCGCCACCCCACCGUCGCCCCUCAUGCUGCCGCCGCCCCACCCCGCCGCCCCGGAGCCCUGCGGCCCUGUCGCCACCACCGCCCGGCGCCCCCUCCACCCGGCCAGCGCCACCCCGCCGCCUCGGAGCCCUGUGGCCCCGUUGCCACCAUCGCCCGGCGCCCCCUCCGCCCGGCCAAUGUCCCUCCGCCGCCGAGCAACCCCACCGCCCGGCGCCCCUGGGCGUGCCGCAGGCCGUCCCACCCCUGCCGCAGGUGAGGCCCGGCCGCACCCCUUUAUUUCUCUUUUUUUUUGUUUUUUUUCUUCUGUUUUUUAGUUUUGUUUUAGAUUUAGUUUAGAUUACUGUUAGUUUGGUUUUAUAUUUAGUUUAGUUUAGAUUACUUUUAGU
Molecule: RNA transcript, 2053 nt
Organism: Triticum aestivum (bread wheat)
Lineage: Eukaryota; Viridiplantae; Streptophyta; Magnoliopsida; Poales; Poaceae
Exons: 8
Source: RefSeq, a predicted model, not a curated record